GACGAACGCUGGCGGCGUGCCUAAUACAUGCAAGUCGAACGCUGAAACUUGGUGCUUGCACCGAGCGGAUGAGUUGCGAACGGGUGAGUAACGCGUAGGUAACCUGCCUGGUAGCGGGGGAUAACUAUUGGAAACGAUAGCUAAUACCGCAUAAGAGUAGAUGUUGCAUGACAUUUGCUUAAAAGGUGCAAUUGCACCACUACCAGAUGGACCUGCGUUGUAUUAGCUAGUUGGUGGGGUAACGGCUCACCAAGGCGACGAUACAUAGCCGACCUGAGAGGGUGAUCGGCCACACUGGGACUGAGACACGGCCCAGACUCCUACGGGAGGCAGCAGUAGGGAAUCUUCGGCAAUGGACGGAAGUCUGACCGAGCAACGCCGCGGGAGUGAAGAAGGUUUUCGGAUCGUAAAGCUCUGUUGUAAGAGAAGAACGAGUGUGAGAGUGGAAAGUUCACACUGUGACGGUAGCUUACCAGAAAGGGACGGCUAACUACGUG
RNAcentral lists this ribosomal RNA (497 nucleotides) under uncultured bacterium. RNAcentral's name for it is "partial 16S ribosomal RNA". It matches the Rfam family "Bacterial small subunit ribosomal RNA", at positions 28 to 507 of the family's 1533-position model. The record is from RNAcentral.